AGGGAAUCUUCGGCAAUGGACGCAAGUCUGACCGAGCAACGCCGCGUGAGUGAAGAAGGUUUUCGGAUCGUAAAACUCUGUUGUUAGAGAAGAACAAGGAUGAGAGUAGAAUGUUCAUCCCUUGACGGUAUCUAACCAGAAAGCCACGGCUAACUACGUGCCAGCAGCCGCGGUAAUACGUAGGUGGCAAGCGUUGUCCGGAUUUAUUGGGCGUAAAGCGAGCGCAGGCGGUUUCUUAAGUCUGAUGUGAAAGCCCCCGGCUCAACCGGGGAGGGUCAUUGGAAACUGGGAAACUUGAGUGCAGAAGAGGAGAGUGGAAUUCCAUGUGUAGCGGUGAAAUGCGUAGAUAUAUGGAGGAACACCAGUGGCGAAGGCGGCUCUCUGGUCUGUAACUGACGCUGAGGCUCGAAAGCGUGGGGAGCAAAC
Molecule: ribosomal RNA, 426 nt
Filed under: uncultured bacterium
Lineage: Bacteria
Description: bacterial SSU rRNA
Rfam family: Bacterial small subunit ribosomal RNA
Source: RNAcentral